GAUGAACGCUGGCGGCGUGCCUAAUACAUGCAAGUCGAGCGAACAGACGAGGAGCUUGCUCCUUUGACGUUAGCGGCGGACGGGUGAGUAACACGUGGAUAACCUACCUAUAAGACUGGGAUAACUUCGGGAAACCGGAGCUAAUGCCGGAUAACAUGUUGAACCGCAUGGUUCAACAGUGAAAGACGGUCUUGCUGUCACUUAUAGAUGGAUCCGCGCCGCAUUAGCUAGUUGGUAAGGUAACGGCUUACCAAGGCAACGAUGCGUAGCCGACCUGAGAGGGUGAUCGGCCACACUGGAACUGAGACACGGUCCAGACUCCUACGGGAGGCAGCAGUAGGGAAUCUUCCGCAAUGGGCGAAAGCCUGACGGAGCAACGCCGCGUGAGUGAUGAAGGUCUUCGGAUCGUAAAACUCUGUUAUUAGGGAAGAACAAAUGUGUAAGUAACUAUGCACGUCUUGACGGUACCUAAUCAGAAAGCCACGGCUAACUACGUG
Molecule: ribosomal RNA, 497 nt
Filed under: uncultured bacterium
Lineage: Bacteria
Description: partial 16S ribosomal RNA
Rfam family: Bacterial small subunit ribosomal RNA
Source: RNAcentral